This 387-nucleotide ribosomal RNA is filed under the name uncultured bacterium. RNAcentral's name for it is "bacterial SSU rRNA". It matches the Rfam family "Bacterial small subunit ribosomal RNA", at positions 28 to 412 of the family's 1533-position model. The record is from RNAcentral.
GAUGAACGCUAGCGGCAGGCUUAAUACAUGCAAGUCGUGGGGCAGCAUGAGUGUAGCAAUACAUUUGAUGGCGACCGGCAAACGGGUGCGGAACACGUACACAACCUUCCUUCAAGUGGGGAAUAGCCCAGGGAAACUUGGAUUAAUACCCCGUAAUAUUAUGGAGUGGCAUCACUUUAUAAUUAUAGCUCCGGCGCUUGAUGAUGGGUGUGCGCCUGAUAGGUAGUUGGCGGGGUAACGGCCCACCAAGCCUUCGAUCAGUAACUGGUGUGAGAGCACGACCAGUCACACGGGCACUGAGACACGGGCCCACUCCUACGGGAGGCAGCAGUAAGAAUAUUGGCAAUGGACNCAAGUCUGAACCNGCCAUGCCGCGUGAAGGAUGAA